CAUGAAAUUUAUGAACACGAAGAGUCUGAAGAAGAAGUUUACGAAUAUGAAAGUCAUGUUCCAAAACGUGCACCCGCCCAAGCUUAUGAAUAUGUAAAAGCACCUUAUAAACGUCCACCCACCGCCAUAUAUGGAACUGAAUUAAAGCGCACGCGCGACACCACUAUCAAAUCUUAUAAACCACCAUCAUUUGGAAUUACUAAGAAAUAUAAAUAAAAAUAAGUCCUAAUAAUAAAAUUGUUAAAGAAAUGCUAAUAAUCGAAUCCCAAAAUAUAACAGUAUAUAACGUAUACAUAACUGGUAUAUGAAAAUGUAAAUGGCUAUAACAAUACCAAUAACCACGCAAAGGUGGGCAUAAAAUGUAAAACAAAAAUCGUCUAAUCUAUUGAGCCAACAUAACCGAAAUAUGAAAUAUAAUUACGUACAUAUAACACCUAAUAAACCUAAUAAACGUAUUGUUUAUCGUUGCAUUAAAUAUAUACAUACCUACCUACUAAAAUCAGAAUUUAGUUUCUUUUUACAGCUAAUGACGUAAGUAUGGGUGCGCUAAGAAAUGCAUCAAGCCAAAGCAUCAGUCUCUUUAACUUCUAAACUACAACUGAUGGAAAUGCCUUAUUUAGGCAAUUUCCUUCUAAUUAUGAAUUUAACCGUGGUUACGCACAUUGGGCAUUCCCAUCAAUUACAGUUUAGAAAUAAAAGCGUCUGAUGCUUUGGCUUGAUGCAUUUCUGAACACACCCAUGAUAACUUGUUUGUAACGUUUAUUCCACACGAAGUCCAAAUAAAUGUCGCACAAAAUAA
Molecule: long non-coding RNA, 799 nt
Filed under: Rhagoletis pomonella (apple maggot)
Lineage: Eukaryota; Metazoa; Arthropoda; Insecta; Diptera; Tephritidae
Description: uncharacterized LOC118755446
Source: RNAcentral